Molecule: long non-coding RNA, 216 nt
Filed under: Panax ginseng (ginseng)
Lineage: Eukaryota; Viridiplantae; Streptophyta; Magnoliopsida; Apiales; Araliaceae
Description: long non-coding RNA (PGIN_LNC017014)
Source: RNAcentral
AGAAAAUGGUUGUUGGGUCUUCAUCUACUCUGCUUCGACCAUAAUCCUGAAGACCAAUAGGGCGGAAUACCCUUCUUCAGUCAAUCAGGAAAAUGGCUGUUGGGUCUUCAUCUACUCUGCUUCGACCAUAAUCCUGAAGACCAAUAGGGCGGAAUACCCUUCUUCAGUCAAUCAGGAAAAUGGCUGUUGGGUCUUCAUCUACUCUACUUCGACCAU